AUACGGAGGAUGCGAGCGUUAUCCGGAUUUAUUGGGUUUAAAGGGAGCGUAGGCGGGAGCUUAAGUCAGCGGUUAAAUGGUGCGGCUCAACCGUGCCCUGCCGUUGAAACUGGGUUUCUUGAGAGUGCGAGAGGCGGAUGGAAUUCAUGGUGUAGCGGUGAAAUGCUUAGAUAUCAUGAAGAACUCCGAUUGCGAAGGCAGUCCGCUGGGGCACGUCUGACGCUGAUGCUCGAAGGUGCGGGAAUCAAACAGGAUUAGAUACCCUGGUAGUCCGCACGGUAAACGAUGAUUACCCGCUGUCGGCGGCAGACAGUCGGCGGCCAAGCGAAAGCGAUAAGUAAUCCACCUGGGGAGUACGCCGGCAACGGUGAAACUCAAAUGAAUUGACGGGG
This 392-nucleotide ribosomal RNA is filed under the name uncultured bacterium. RNAcentral describes it as "partial 16S ribosomal RNA". It matches the Rfam family "Bacterial small subunit ribosomal RNA", at positions 523 to 918 of the family's 1533-position model. The record is from RNAcentral.